This 27-nucleotide non-coding RNA is filed under the name Rattus norvegicus (Norway rat). The record is from RNAcentral. Lineage: Eukaryota; Metazoa; Chordata; Mammalia; Rodentia; Muridae.
UAAGCUGGAUGUUUUUGGAUUGCUGGG